Molecule: long non-coding RNA, 5353 nt
Filed under: Sus scrofa (pig)
Lineage: Eukaryota; Metazoa; Chordata; Mammalia; Artiodactyla; Suidae
Description: lncRNA (ENSSSCG00040029229.1)
Source: RNAcentral
CACUUAUAUUGAAUAUAAUAUAGCAAGUGAAGGAGAAAAAUAUCUUCUUCCAAGUAGUUACUCUACUCAACUUUCCCUGAAAUAAGCUCUUUUAAUUACAUUUACAUUUACUGUGCUACCUCUUAAGGGGUAGGAAGAGGAGGCAGAAAGUGCAUCUAUUUUAAAAGCAGUCAGAGUUUCACUCAGCACCUGUGAUAUCUUGAUAAAUAGAUGAAGUUGGCAAUCCUUGACACAAAUGAGCAAUUCUAUAAAGAUAAGCAUUCAUUAGAAAAAUAAUUGAACACCAUAUAGAACUUUAAUCAUCAAAAAUAAAUAUAUUUAGGAGAGAAAUAUUAUUGUUUCCUAAAGAAUCCCAUUCAUAGGAAAAGCAAGGCCUUCCUUUCUGAGUUUUUGAAUAUGUUUGCUACCUCAAUGAAAAAAAACGUACAAUAAGGCUCAAUGAAAAUAAUUCCAUGUAGUAACAGGUAAAUAUAUCUGGUCUUUUCAAAAAAUGGUUCUGGUAAGAAUUUACUAAUUAUUUCUAUCUUGUGUAUCACUGAAUAAUCAUUUGACCUUGAGAAAAAGCAAAAUGUUUAAGUUCAUCUGGUUUUGGAAAAGUUCUCUUGGUUUGAGAAAUAGGGUGAAAGCAGCUAUUACAAAGAUCUUUGUAUUAAGUCUGUUGCUCUUGCUUAAAAAAACUGAACAUUCUGACCCCGAAUCAGUAUUAGAAAUUAGGUUCUUAGAUUAAAUUAGCCUUUAUUUCUUUUCCACUUAUUUUCAGAACAUUAUCACAAGGGAAGUGGCACCAAUAUUUUUUUUUUAAAAAAGGGGUGGAGACUACUUAUAACACUAACCUAUUUUGGAACCAUAUUUUGAACCAAUAGAGAGGCACUUGGUGACAUGCCAAUCCAUAUUCAAAGUAAAGGGAAAAGGAAAAACACUGUCAUGUUUUUCAUGGAAUAAUUCCAAACCAGCAAGUCAUUAAAAUGUCAUUAAUUACAGCAUUACAUUAUAAUCUUAUUUUGUGUCACUAUCUCACUUAAAAUGUAGUAAAAGCAAAAAAUCUUGGGAAAUGAGAAAAACAGUAGAGUUGCCUUAAAAAGUCUAAUGGUGGAGGAAGGGGGAAGAAGUACUAAAUUCCUAUCACUCCCCCAUAGAGAAGAAGCCUGUUCAGGAAGUACAGGAAACUUUUUGCUUGUGGGAUAGAAUACCCUGCUAUAAAUGUGUCAUUGGCAAAUGCUGGCACCAUGAAGCACAAAACAGCAAAGGGAGCUGGCAGAUUUGGGUAGAAUUUAGAAUGCAUGGGUGGUUUUCAGAAUUAUUUCCAGUGCUAUGUUCUCUGCAUUCCAUGGGUUCCCCAGUUCCUCCCACAGUGCCUCGCACAUGGUGGAUACUUAACAUAUAUUAAUUAAAUAAACGUAUGAAGUCAAUAUAUUUCUUAACAUUAUGUAAAAGCAUGGGAUAUCUAGGUCACUAAGGAUCAGUUAAAGUUGUACUGCAGAUCCCCAAAGUCUUAUAAACAAACAAGCAGCCCUGGUUAUUUAAUAUUCACCUCCAAGUCUUACGAAAAGUGUAUUCAUUUAAAAUCCUUUAUUAAAUUAAGACAUAGCCCAGUAAGCUAUCUGUAUCCUAGACAGGCCUAACUUCAGAAGCCAACCAUAUCUGCAAGUAGAGUAGAGUCAAAAAUGCCUAGAUUUUUCUACUCCUAGGUAUCACGUAUCUACCCAAGAGAAAUGAAAAUGUAGGGCAAUACAAAAAGUUGUACACAAAUGUUCAUGGAGGCACUAUUUAUAACUGACCAAAGUGAAAGCAACCCAAAUGUCCAUCAACUGAUAAAAGGAUAAAAUAUGGAUUAUCUAUACAAUGGAAUAUUAUUUAGCAAUACAAAUAAAUGAAUUACUGACAAGUACUAUAACACAAAUGAAUCUUGAAAAUAUUAUGCUAAAUUACAAAAGGCUACACAUCAUAUGAUUCUAUUUAUUGUUAUAUGAUUCUGUUUAUGACACAUCUAGAAUAGACAAAUCUAUAGAGACAGAAAUCAAAUCAGUGUUUUCCUAGGCCUGGCAGUGAAUGGAGAUGGUGAGAAGAAUUGGGGGUGACAGCUAAAGGGGUAAGAUUUCUUGCUGAGGUGGUGAAAAUGAUCCAGAAUUGACCAUAAUGAUGGUUGUACCCCUUUGUAGUUAUGCAAAAAACCAUGCAAUUUUAUACUUUAGCUGAGUAAAUUGUAUGGUAUAGGAAUUAUUUCUCAAUAAAGCUACUGAAAGAGAAAAAUACUAGAUUUGAAUCCAAGAACCUGUAACUAACUUAGGUUAAGUUACUUCUUCGAAAAGAAGGCAACAAAAUGUCUACCUCAUGGGGUUGCUGCUAUAAUGAUUAAAUGAGAUAAUUCUGGUAAAAAGUUUCAAAUAUAGCAAGGACGUAAGUGGUAGUAUUACUGAUUAUUAUAGGACACUGGCCUAUUCACAGCCUUGCUGCUGUGAACCAUGCAGGGUGUACAUCUCAGGCCCCAGGAUCCAUAGCCUGGAGUAUAGCUGAAUGUGAAAAUGUAAUCUUGGCCAAUACUGCUCUUUGAUUUUAUGUAUGUAUGUAUGUUUAGUUUAGUUCUAUAUUUUCUUCUUCCUCUAGUUUUUUUACUCAAUGAAUUUUAUUAUAUUUGUAAUUGUACCACCAUCAUCACAACCCAAUUUUACAAUUCCAUCCUUACCCCCCAGCCCAUCCCUUCUUCCAGUUUUAUUGAGUUGUAACUGACAUAUGGCACUGUAUAAGUUUUACGUGUACAACCUAGUGAUUUGACUUACAUACAUCAUGAAAUGAUGAUUACCAUAAGUUUGGCAAAUAACCAUCAUCUCAUAUAGAUAUAACAGUAAAAGUUUUUUCCUUGUGAUGAGAACUUACAAUUUACUCUCUUAAUGACUUUCAUAUAUAACAUACAGGAAUGUUAAUUAUAUUUAUCAUGCCAUACAUGACAUCCUUAUUACUUAUUUAUCUUAUAACUGGAAGUUUGUACCUUUUGACCACCUUCAUCCUAUUUCCUCUCCACUUACCUCUGGUAACCACACAUCUGAUCCCUUUUUCUAUGAGUAGUUUUUUUUUGAAGUACAAUUGGCCUAAAACACUAUGGUAGUUCCUGGUACAUACCAUAGUGAUUCCAUAUUUCUAUACAUUUCAAAAUGAUCACCACAAUAAAUUUAAUUAUGGUCUGUCACCAUAUAAAGACAUUCCAUAAUUAUUCACUAUAUUCCCCAUGCUGUACAUUUCAUAAUCAUGACUCAUUUAUUUUGUAGCUAGAAAUUUGUACGUCUUAACUUCCCUCUCCUCUCUCCACCUACUCCCCUCUGGCAACCACUUGUUUGUUCUCUGUAUCUAUGACUCUGUUUCUUUUUGUUAUGUUUAUUCAUUUGUUUUGAUAUUUUAGACUCCACAUAUAAGUGAAAACAUAGUAUUUGUCUUUCUGUCUGGCAUUUCAUUUAGCAUAAUGCCUUCUAGUUCCAUUCCUAUUGUUGCAAAUGGCAAGAAUUAACUUUUCAUGGCUGUGUAAUACUCCAUUGUAUUCCACACCCUGAUUAUACAUUCAUCUAUUGAUGGGCACUUAGGUUGGUUCCAAACUUUGGCUGUUGCAGUGAAAAUAGAGGUACAUAUAUCUUUUUGAAUUUAUUUUUUCAUUUUCUCUGGCUAAAUACCCAGAAGUGGAAUAGCUGAAUUAUAGAAUAGUUCUAUUUUUAAUUUUUUAAGGAACUUCCAUACCAUUUUCCAUGGUGAUAGCACCAUUUACGUACCCACCAACAGUGUGUGAGAGUUCCCUUUUAUCCACAACUUUGUCAACCUUGUUGUUCAUUAUCUUUUUUAAUAGCCACUCUGACUGGUAUGAGGAUAUAUCUCUUACUUAACAUUUGUUUUUACCUGAUGAUCGGUGAUGUUGAUCAUCCUUUCAUGUGUCUGCUGGCCAUCUGUUUUCCUUCUUUUGAAAAAUGUCUAUUAAUGUCUGCCCUCCUUUAAAACUCACAUUUUUGUGGGGUUUUUUUUAUAUUGAGUUGUAUGAGUUCUUUGUAUAUGUUAGAUAUUAGCUCCUUAUCAGAUAUAUCAUUUGCAAAUAUCUUCUCCCAUUCAGUAGACUUAUUCAUUUUAUUGAGUGUUUCCUUUGUGGCAUAAAAAGCUUUGUAAUUAGAUGUAGUCCCAUUUGUUAUUUUUGCUUUUGCUUCAUUUGGCUGAGGAGACACAUCCAAAAAAAAAAAAAUAUUAUUAAGACAUCAGAGAGUGUGUUGCCUAUUUUUUCUUCUAGAAGCUUUAUGGUUUCAGGAGGUCUUACAUUUAAGUCUUUAAUCCAUUUUGGAUUUAUUUUUGUAAAUUGUGUGAGAGAGUAGUUCAGUUUGGUUAUUUUGCAUGAAGCUGUCCAGUUUUCCCAACAUGAUUUGUUGAAAAGACUGUCUUUUCCCCAUUGUAUAUUCUUCCCUUCUUUGUUGUAGAUUAAUUCUCAUGUAAGUGUGUGUUUGUUUCUGGGCUUUCUAUCCUGUUCCAUUGAACUAUAUGUCUGUUUCUGUGUCAGUACCAAACUGUUUUGAUCAAUGUAGCUUUGUAGCAUAGUUUAAAAUCAGGGAAUGUGAUACCUUCAGCUUUGUUCUUUUCUCUAGAUUUUUUUGGAUGUUCAGAGUUUUUGUAGUUUCAUACAAAUUUUAGAAAUGUUCAUUCUAAUUCUGUGAAAAAUGCCAUUGGUGUUUUGAUAGAAAUUGAAUUGAAUCUAUAGAUUUCCUUGGAGAGUAUGGUCAUUUUAAUAAUGUUGAUUCUCCCAUUCCAUGAGCAUGGUGUAUCUUUCCUCUGUAUCAUCAUCAGUUUCUUUCAUCAUUGUUUUAUAGUUUUUUGAGUGCAGGUUUUUUACCUCCUUUGCUAGAUUUAUUCCUCAAUGUUUUAUUCUUUUUGAUAAGAUUGUAAAUAUAAUUGUUUUCUUAAUUUAUCUUUCUGGUUUUUUUUUGGGGGGGGGGCCAGGGACCAAACCCACGUCGUAAUAGUUACUAGGCGUGUUCAUUAACCACUGAGCCAGGAUGGGAAGUCCUUAAUUUCUCUUUCUGAUGGUUCAUUGUUAGUGUAUAGAAAUGCAACAGAGAGGAGUUCCCGUCAUGGCUCAGUGGUUAACGAAUCCGACUAGGAACCAUGAGGUUUCGGGUUUGAUCCCUGGCCUCACUCGGUGGGUUGAGGAUCUGGCGUUGUGAUGAGCUGUGGUGUAAGUCACAGACACGGCUCAGAUCCUGUGUUCCUGUGGCUCAGGCAUAGGCCGGUGGCUACAGCUUUGAUUAGAUCCCUAACCUGGGAACCUCCACAUGCCAUGGGUGUGGCCCUAGAAAAGACAAAAAGACAAAAAAAAAAAAAAAAAAAAAAAAAG